CUCAACCCUUGGGGGAGGCAGAAAUGCCUGAGAGUUUCUCGUUAUACGGGAGAGGCCCCUUGAACCUGAUACGGGCAAUGCUGGCGUAGGGAACAGGGAAUUAAGUUUAA
RNAcentral lists this non-coding RNA (110 nucleotides) under Nitrospirota bacterium. Its description in RNAcentral is "Nitrospirae bacterium TPP sequence". It matches the Rfam family "TPP riboswitch aptamer (THI element)". From Rfam's summary of the family: Vitamin B(1) in its active form thiamin pyrophosphate (TPP) is an essential coenzyme that is synthesised by coupling of pyrimidine and thiazole moieties in bacteria. The previously detected thiamin-regulatory element, thi box was extended, resulting in a new, highly conserved RNA secondary structure, the THI element, which is widely distributed in eubacteria and also occurs in some archaea. Analysis of operon structures identified a large number of new candidate thiamin-regulated genes, mostly transporters, in various prokaryotic organisms. The record is from RNAcentral. Lineage: Bacteria; Pseudomonadati; Nitrospirota.